AUGCACGCUAGCUACAGGCUUAACACAUGCCAGUCGCGGGGCAGCAUGGGGGUUGCUUGCAAUCCCCGAUGGCGACCGGCGCACGGGUGAGUAACGCGUAUCCAACCUGCCCUUCACCACGGGAUAACCCGGCGAAAGUCGGACUAAUACCGUAUGUUGUCCAUUGACGGCAUCCGAUUUGGACGAAAGGUUUGGCGGUGAAGGAUGGGGAUGCGUCCGAUUAGCUGGACGGCGGGGUGACGGCCCACCGUGGCGACGAUCGGUAGGGGUUCUGAGAGGAAGGUCCCCCACACUGGAACUGAGACACGGUCCAGACUCCUACGGGAGGCAGCAGUGAGGAAUAUUGGUCAAUGGGCGUAAGCCUGAACCAGCCAAGUAGCGUGCAGGAUGACGGCCCUAUGGGUUGUAAACUGCUUUUAUGCGGGGAUAAAGUGGCCCACGUGUGGGUUUUUGCAGGUACCGCAUGAAUAAGGACCGGCUAAUUCCGUG
This 489-nucleotide ribosomal RNA is filed under the name uncultured bacterium. RNAcentral's name for it is "partial 16S ribosomal RNA". It matches the Rfam family "Bacterial small subunit ribosomal RNA", at positions 29 to 507 of the family's 1533-position model. The record is from RNAcentral.